CCUACGGGAGGCAGCAGUGGGGAAUAUUGGACAAUGGGGGCAACCCUGAUCCAGCCAUGCCGCGUGUGUGAAGAAGGCCCUCGGGUUGUAAAGCACUUUCAGUGAGGAAGAACGCCUGGUGGUUAAUACCCAUCAGGAAAGACAUCACUCACAGAAGAAGCACCGGCUAACUCCGUGCCAGCAGCCGCGGUAAUACGGAGGGUGCGAGCGUUAAUCGGAAUUACUGGGCGUAAAGCGCGCGUAGGUGGCUUGAUAAGCCGGUUGUGAAAGCCCCGGGCUCAACCUGGGAACGGCAUCCGGAACUGUCAAGCUAGAGUGCGGGAGAGGAAGGUAGAAUUCCCGGUGUAGCGGUGAAAUGCGUAGAGAUCGGGAGGAAUACCAGUGGCGAAGGCGGCCUUCUGGACUGACACUGACACUGAGGUGCGAAAGCGUGGGUAGCAAACAGGAUUAGAUACCCUAGUAGUC
RNAcentral lists this ribosomal RNA (465 nucleotides) under Vreelandella stevensii. RNAcentral's name for it is "partial 16S ribosomal RNA". It matches the Rfam family "Bacterial small subunit ribosomal RNA", at positions 338 to 795 of the family's 1533-position model. The record is from RNAcentral. Lineage: Bacteria; Pseudomonadati; Pseudomonadota; Gammaproteobacteria; Oceanospirillales; Halomonadaceae.